This 795-nucleotide long non-coding RNA is filed under the name Helianthus annuus (common sunflower). Lineage: Eukaryota; Viridiplantae; Streptophyta; Magnoliopsida; Asterales; Asteraceae. The record is from RNAcentral.
AGUUAUUAUCCUGAUUGCGGCAGCGUUUCGAGGUUUGUGUGUGUUUGUGUAGUAAACAGAGCAUAACUCCGUGCCUCAGACGAAUUUCUUUGUCGUUCAAACGCAGAAUUUCAAGUCCCAACCUCUCCUAUUUAUACAUGAAAUUUGACCCUGUCGCGUAGCGCGAGGGGUACCCCCCUGGGCGUCGCGCUACGCGAGGGGUAACCUAUUUUCUAUAGGUAGCCACGUCCCUAACUAGGCUUGCUGAGUUGACGAAAUCGUAAAAUUCAAAACGGCCAGCAAGUUAUUUAGAUAAUUGUAACUAGGGUUUUGCCCCCCCUGAGUUUUAGGGGCCCUGAUCCUGAUUCUGAUUGUUCUGGAAAUUUUAGGAGUUGUGCAGGAUUACUUGGGUGUCCCAACUAUGGUUCCCUAUUGGGUAAAUAAAAUAAUAGGUAUGACUUUUGAUGAAAGUUUGUUUACAAAAUAGAAAUAAUAAAUAAUAAAUAAUAGUUUUGGUAACUUACAAAAAAAGAAUAAAAUGGUGAGAAAAAGAAAUGGACCCACUGUGUAACUUUAGGGGUUCAACUAGAAAGAUUCCUGGUAUAAAUUUUGGGUAUAACUUUUGAGCUAUAUAAAAAUAUAAUGCACUCGUGUUAAGUAUAGUACCUCUAAAUCAACCUUGUCCCGAAGUCCCGAGAUAAAAUCCAAACGAACUUAGUCGGGCAGAGCCUUGACAUGCGUUAUGGGACUCAGAUCAAUCGGAAAGGGUAGCGGUGAUUGGGAGUUACAAUACUUAAAACGAAGCAGGGUUUUAUU